CCUGCUGCUAGAGGCAUUGCAAGUGUGGCUCCUGGGUCACAUGUGCAUCAGGAAGUGGCAGAGAUGAGUGGGGCUAUGCCUAUGCUCAGUGUUCUGACAUAUGAAUAUCUGAAUGAUUGGUAGCCUAAAUU
This is a small nucleolar RNA of Acomys russatus (golden spiny mouse), 131 nucleotides long. RefSeq annotates it as small nucleolar RNA SNORA17. The transcript has a single exon. The record is from RefSeq and is a predicted model, not a curated record. Lineage: Eukaryota; Metazoa; Chordata; Mammalia; Rodentia; Muridae.